CCGGGUGUGGCCCAGCUGGUAGGGCGCCUGGUUUGGGACCAGGAUGCCGCGAGUUCGAAUCUCGCCACUCGGACCA
This 76-nucleotide transfer RNA is filed under the name Bacillota bacterium. Its description in RNAcentral is "tRNA-Pro". It matches the Rfam family "tRNA". From Rfam's summary of the family: Transfer RNA (tRNA) molecules are approximately 80 nucleotides in length. Their secondary structure includes four short double-helical elements and three loops (D, anti-codon, and T loops). Further hydrogen bonds mediate the characteristic L-shaped molecular structure. tRNAs have two regions of fundamental functional importance: the anti-codon, which is responsible for specific mRNA codon recognition, and the 3' end, to which the tRNAs corresponding amino acid is attached (by aminoacyl-tRNA synthetases). tRNAs cope with the degeneracy of the genetic code in two manners: having more than one tRNA (with a specific anti-codon) for a particular amino acid; and 'wobble' base-pairing, i.e. permitting non-standard base-pairing at the 3rd anti-codon position. Lineage: Bacteria; Bacillati; Bacillota. The record is from RNAcentral.